AGGGGGGGGGUUAGUAUGUUACAUAUUGUGUGAGGAUCAAGAUUAGCCAACCUACUCUAUCCCCUCCCUCAAGACUCGACGGCAGCCACUUGAUUUCCAUUCGAAGCCCUCCAUUAAUCGCUCCAACACCUCUUUAGGAUACUUGAUCUCGAGAUGUUAUGUGUUUCUAGUACACCACUGGAUUGAUGGUGUCGUUAGAUGUCUUGGAUUUGGAACUUGCUGUCUGGAGUAGCUGGAGUAGUCAUGGGUCGACUGGAAGGGCUCAUGUGAUUAAAUUCCCUAUUUCUAUACUUGGGUUUUGAAAAAGUUUAACUUCAUUUUAUUAUUUGCUUCCGCUGAACAUAUCGGUUUUCAUGUAAACUUGUUGAUGGAAUUUUAUUAAUGAUUGAGAACUUAUUUAGAAAUUGUAUGGGUUCAAUGUAAGUAGUGGCUCACUGUUGGUAUGUCACAUGCCUAACGGGGGCACUCCUAGGUGGUAUUUUUGAGGGUGUGACAAUUACUACUUUCACCUGAAUUCAAAACCAACUUAACAAUUACUUUU
This 541-nucleotide long non-coding RNA is filed under the name Helianthus annuus (common sunflower). RNAcentral describes it as "hypothetical non coding rna". The record is from RNAcentral. Lineage: Eukaryota; Viridiplantae; Streptophyta; Magnoliopsida; Asterales; Asteraceae.